GCCGGGUGUGGUGGCGCAGACCUGUAAUCCCAGCUACUCGGGAGGCUGAGGCAGGAGAAUCGCUUGAACCCGGGAGGCGGAGGUUGCAGUGAGCCGAGAUAGUGCCACUGCACUCCACCCUGAGCAACAGAGCGAGACUCUGUCUCAA
This is a non-coding RNA of Macaca mulatta (Rhesus monkey), 148 nucleotides long. The record is from Rfam. NCBI's taxonomy places the organism in Eukaryota, Metazoa, Chordata, Mammalia, Primates, Cercopithecidae.